GUCUACCGGAAGUUAUACCCAUGUUACUUGUUACGCUAACGACAAUUAUCCGCCAUGACUUAGUGGAAAAGUAAGAAAAACGAGCCCUAAAGAGUAGGUGACUGGUAAAUCCAAAAAUGAUGUCGGAGUCAACGAAGAUGGUCCCCAGGUCGAUGACGCCGGGGUCCGGCUUGCCGCUUCCGGGAGCCCCCGUGCGGACGGCAUGACGAGGACUGCCCUGGGGGGAGCGGAUGCAAGGGAGAAGUGGCGUCGGCUCACAUUUUUGCUGGGGAGGCUGCAAUUUCAAUUAUGUCGCCGUUCUGCCACAAAAAGAGACAAAAAGAGGGAUGAGAUGAACAAGCACCAAGAUAAGAGGUGAGAUCUGCAUACACAAACAUGCAGUUUCAAAAACACAUUGUAAAAGCAAAUGUCACAGAGGAAGAAGACAUGAGAACUAUAACACUUUGCAUACGUCAUCACUUUUCACCACAAAAACAUGCGACCCAUAGGAUUUAUGACACUCUUAAAAAAAA
Molecule: long non-coding RNA, 512 nt
Organism: Nerophis lumbriciformis (worm pipefish)
Lineage: Eukaryota; Metazoa; Chordata; Actinopteri; Syngnathiformes; Syngnathidae
Source: RefSeq, a predicted model, not a curated record